Molecule: ribosomal RNA, 455 nt
Filed under: uncultured bacterium
Lineage: Bacteria
Description: bacterial SSU rRNA
Rfam family: Bacterial small subunit ribosomal RNA
Source: RNAcentral
GGUCAGAACGAACGCUGGCGGCAGGCCUAAGUCAUGCAAGUUGAACGGCUGUAGCAAUACAGCAGUAGCGGACGGGGUGAGUAAUGUAUGGGAACGUAUCUUCUAGUGGGGAAUAUUCUUUGGAAACGAAGAGCAAUACCGCAUAAGUCCUACGGGAGAAAGUCGCAAGACGCUAGAUGAGCGGCCCAUAUUGGAUUAGCUAGUUGGUUAGGUAAUGGCUGACCAAGGCAACGAUCCAUAGCUGGUCUAAGAGGACGAUCAGCCACAUUGGGACUGAGACACGGCCCAGACUCCUACGGGAGGCAGCAGUCAGGAAUAUUGGACAAUGGGGGCAACCCUGAUCCCAGCCAUGCCGCGUGAGUGUUAAGGUCUUCGGAUUGUAAAGCUCUUUUGUGUGGGAAAAUGAUGAUGGUACCACAAGAAUAAGCACCGGCUAACUUCGUGCCAGCCGCAGC